UCGAUUUGAGAAAACAAAAAGCGAAAUAAUCUCUUCUUCUGCUUCUGCGAAGACGACGAUGAUCCAUCCAUGUCGAGACGAUGAUAAGCCACUCUCUCUCUCUCUCAGUCCUCCAUCAUCACUCGAUAGAAACCCUAAUCCGCGAGACCCUAAGAUCUAAAAUCUAAAAACCCUAAAAUCUCUCUACGGAUCGGAGCGAAGCAUCUCAGGGUUUCAGCCACCGCCUACUCCGCCCUUCUUCUCUGGUUCGUCCCCCUUCUUCUCCUUCGGUUUCCCCUCUCUCUCUCUCUCGUAGACUCGUAGUCUUCUAGGGUUCCGAGCCAAGGAGAUGGCCUUGUUUUUCAAUCGGGCUCUUAAUUAAGCUCUUAACAGAGGAUCUCUCCGGUGUUCUUUGCUGUGGGAUCUUCUCUCUUCCAAAGCGUGGGUGCGGAUCACACACAGCAGGAGAUGGUUUUUAAGAAUGGACAAGUCUCAUAACCAAAAUUUGUCAUCUUAAUCUGAUUUACGAGUAUCAUCAAGUCAACCUACAGGAGAAGGUGGUCUUAUUUGCGCUUUGCCCAAACAGACAAUAUGAUUGACACGGCAGGAUAAAGAGCCGUUUAGAAUCAGCUGUAGCUACAACACAGAGUCGUCUGAGUGAACUUGGAGCAUCGUCUCCUUCCCCUUUUCUGAAAUCAAACCAGAACAGAUGUUUCCGCACUUUCUGAGGAGUGAGGACUGAUCUGAGCUUUGGUCUUAAUAUGAGGUGGUGGGCGUUGAUUGAUUUAUUUGACUCUCUCUCGGUGAUUCAGAACACAAACGUCGCCAGCGAGCUUAAGGUAAAGGAGGUCACCAUUCAAGGUAGAGACCAUCUGCAAUUAAUUCCAUGAAUGACACCAUGAGCCGAUGUCUAAGAAGAAGAAGAAGAAGAAGAAAAAAAGAACACCUCCAGGAUAAAGAGCCGUUAGAACCAGUAGCUACAAUACAUAGUAAGCCUCAGGGAAAAACCAGUAACCAACCAGUAGCUAAGAUUCUUUAUCGCGUCUUUUAGUUCAACUCUUGACUGUUUAUUUCUUCUUUGAUACCGUUGAUGGUUUUGGUUGCAGGUCGUCUGAGUGAACUUGGAGCAUCGUCUCCUUCCCCUUUUCUGAAAUCAAACCAGAACAGAUGUUUCCGCACUUUCUGAGGAGUGAGGACUGAUCUGAGCUUUGGUCUUAAUAUGAGGUGGUGGGCGUUGAUUGAUUUAUUUGACUCUCUCUCGGUGAUUCAGAACACAAACGUCGCCAGCGAGCUUAAGGUAAAGGAGGUCACCAUUCAAGGUAGAGACCAUCUGCAAUUAAUUCCAUGAAUGACACCAUGAGCCGAUGUCUAAGAAGAAGAAGAAGAAGAAGAAAAAAAGAACACCUCCAGGAUAAAGAGCCGUUAGAACCAGUAGCUACAAUACAUAGUAAGCCUCAGGGAAAAACCAGUAACCAACCAGUAGCUAAGAUUCUUUAUCGCGUCUUUUAGUUCAACUCUUGACUGUUUAUUUCUUCUUUGAUACCGUUGAUGGUUUUGGUUGCAGGUCGUCUGAGUGAACUUGGAGCAUCGUCUCCUUCCCCUUUUCUGAAAUCAAACCAGAACAGAUGUUUCCGCACUUUCUGAGGAGUGAGGACUGAUCUGAGCUUUGGUCUUAAUAUGAGGUGGUGGGCGUUGAUUGAUUUAUUUGACUCUCUCUCGGUGAUUCAGAACACAAACGUCGCCAGCGAGCUUAAGGUAAAGGAGGUCACCAUUCAAGGUAGAGACCAUCUGCAAUUAAUUCCAUGAAUGACACCAUGAGCCGAUGUCUAAGAAGAAGAAGAAGAAGAAGAAAAAAAGAACACCUCCAGGAUAAAGAGCCGUUAGAACCAGUAGCUACAAUACAUAGUAAGCCUCAGGGAAAAACCAGUAACCAACCAGUAGCUAAGAUUCUUUAUCGCGUCUUUUAGUUCAACUCUUGACUGUUUAUUUCUUCUUUGAUACCGUUGAUGGUUUUGGUUGCAGGUCGUCUGAGUGAACUUGGAGCAUCGUCUCCUUCCCCUUUUCUGAAAUCAAACCAGAACAGAUGUUUCCGCACUUUCUGAGGAGUGAGGACUGAUCUGAGCUUUGGUCUUAAUAUGAGGUGGUGGGCGUUGAUUGAUUUAUUUGUCUCUCUCUUGGUGAUUCAGAACACAAACGUCGCCAGCGAGCUUAAGGUAAAGGAGGUCACCAUUCAUGGUAGAGACCAUCUGCAACUAAUUCCAUGAAUGACACCAUGAGCCGAUGUCUAAGAAGAAGAAGAAGAAAAAAAGAACACCUCUAGGUUUUGUUUCAGGUCUGAUUGUUUUGAUUGCAGGUCUGAGCGUAUUUGGAGCAUCGUCUUUUUCCCCUCGUCUGAAAUCAAAAUGGAACAGAUGUUUCCGCACUUUCAGAGGAGUGAGGACUGAUCUGAACUUUGGUAUUGAUAAUAGGUGGGCGUUGAUUGAUUUAUUUGACUCUCUCUCGGUGAUUCCGAACACAAACGUCGCCAGCCAGCUUAAGGUCAAGGAGAUCAUCAUUCAAGGUAGGGACCAGUCGAUGGACUUUAAGAAAAGCAUCAAACUGCUGAUAGCUAGUCUUCUGACGUUUGAGGAAUCUAUACUGCACUCGGGCCAAAAAAACAAAAACCAGUCACAGUUGUCUAAGCCGAAUGCAGUCAUUAGCAACAUGUGAAAGGGGAAAGAAACGUAGCUAGCACUACCAAACUGAUUAUGGAAAGUCAAGCCAUCAAAAAGCAAAAGCUAGAUGAAGGAAAAUCAAAAUAGAUUCUCAAUUCAAAACCAGCAACUCUGUUGCUCCACAGGGCAAAACGAGGUCUUUCUCACUCCGAAGUCUUAAGCUCAACCUGUGAAAAAGCAGUGAACAAGAAGGCAAUGCAUCUAGUUUCAUCAAGAUCUUGAAAGCUCCAGCUUUGCCUGCACCAGAAACAAGUACACCAUAUCUGCUAGAAGUUUC
Camelina sativa (false flax) is the source of this 2970-nucleotide non-coding RNA. The record is from RefSeq and is a predicted model, not a curated record. Lineage: Eukaryota; Viridiplantae; Streptophyta; Magnoliopsida; Brassicales; Brassicaceae.